Molecule: long non-coding RNA, 4919 nt
Filed under: Sus scrofa (pig)
Lineage: Eukaryota; Metazoa; Chordata; Mammalia; Artiodactyla; Suidae
Description: lncRNA (ENSSSCG00025017942.1)
Source: RNAcentral
GUCUUUAAAGAGGUAAUCAAUGGCCUCGACGGAAACCAACCCUGCCAACACCUUGACCUCGGACUUCCAGACUCCAGGCUCUAAGACUAGGCAUCUGUUGUUUAAGCCACCCGAUCUGGAGCACCUUGUUAUGACACCCCUGGAAAACUAAUGCCGUCUCAGAGAACAUGACAAGCUUGCUCUCCAACAGAAGCAGCAAUGACGUAAAGAGGCAAAUCUCAGAAACACAUACCCAGGAGUUUGUGGAGACAGAUCUCAAAGGCCCAGCCUGACGUUCUCAGAGACUCUGGGGGAUCCAGGAGGGGGAACUGAGUUGCCUGCACCUUACAGGGAAGCCCUGAGAGUUCCUGGGGGCUCACCUUGGCCUUCGGCCCACAGCCCUGGUGAGGCCGUUGUGGACUUCAGUGCUGGACCAUCCCUGUGCCACCCCAGGGCUGACCCAGUGAGCUUGUUCAUCAGGCGGUUCCUCCACCACCCGGUGGAACGAACUCAGCGUGGUCUGGAAGAUGAUCUCAGCUUUAAAAAAUGACUUUUCACCUGACACCUGCCAUGAACAUCAAGGCAGCUAACUUGACAGAUUAGGUUAAUUUUUCCUGUCAUACAAAAGCUUGUCUUCUUUGAAAACAUUAACGUUCUCAUUUCUUAUGUAAUUCCUCCAUAGCCUCUUAAUUUACUCAGUGGUGGGGGGUUGGGAACGAUGCCUUGUAUUUUUGUGUCUUUCCUAGCACCCAGCACAUAUGGGUACUCAAAAUAUGUUGUUUAAUUUAAGGAAUCAGAACAUCAUUGGCUCUCCCCAUUGGAGGGACCCACUUGUACCAUCCCUGCCACUUUGCUGGCGCCUCUCCUGGGCCAUGACCCUCAGUGGAUGGUCCAUCAGCCCACUCUGGCUAGACCCUUCUUGCAGUCUUGGGAUAAGAGCAUGUUAAAAUGGAAUGAUUUCACUCUAGAGUCUGCCAAGGCCCAAGGCAAUAGGUGCCACCUUCCAAACUGACACCUAGACCACAUGUAUGUGGGGACAUAGAGAAACACCGGUCCCACCUCCUAGAAAAUCCGGACAGUGAGAGCCUGUCCUGCCACUGCCAGAAACAGAGCCAAUAAAAAAAAUCCCUGCAUGAGGGGCUGCCUCUCUCUGACAUCUGUUCUGCUGAUUAUGAGUCUGACAGGGCAGAGGAUGGACAGUGUUGAGCGGGGGCUUGUGCAGAAGACAGCAAGCAAGGGAUUGCCUUGGAGUCUGUCAAACAGAGCCGCCAGAGGGACCCAGGGCGAGGUGCCAAAGAGCUGGAGGUCCUGCCAGGUGCCCAGGAUGCAGGAACAACCCACAGCCAAGCAGCCAAGCAGAUGGAUAUGUGAUGCUUGGCCCAGGUGUGGGCACUCUGGGGUGAAUUCCCAGGGGUGAAGUUACUCCAGGAAGUUGGAGCAGGGAGAGUCCUUGAAGAUUCCACAGAAGCAAGAGUUAGCAAGGAGGGAGGAUAAGAUACAGAAAAGGGAAGAGAAGCCAAUGACGUGAGGGGAGGGAGCAGUGGAUUUCAAAGAAAGGCUUGAAAAUUUUUAUCAUUACACUGAACUGGGUACUUAAAUGCCUGACCUGAGACCGAGGCUAGAAGUGAAGCGCAUCUACAGCGCUUGGUUAUCAUCCGAGAAACAGGAGACACUGCCGGGAACCCGUCCUGAUUUCAUCUGCAGAGGUGGGAAGAAAGGACCCACGUGGAGGAGACUUAAAUGGACCCAGGAAGAGAAGGAAAAGAAGUGCUUAACAGUAUCCUCUUGUUCAAGGUCAUGGUUGUAUCAGCUUCCACGUUCCUCCUGUCACAUUCUGUACCCAGAGUGAUUAUGUUGUGUUGUGCUUGGCACAUGUUAAAUAAUUUCUUAAAAAAAUAAAUAUUGAACACAGUGAGCAAUCUCUGUCUUUCCAUUCUCUAAAAAAAGACCCUCUGUUAUUAUUAUUGCUCCUCCUCCUUCUAUAUUUUUAUUAUUUUGAUCCAUCUGCCCCACUUUACCUGGCCAAAGAUACAUCUGUGAAAGGCACUGUUUGGCAAGAGUGCUAUUGUUUUUUAGCUUCAUGGAAUGCACUGGAAGUCUGGCUGCCAUUUUCCUGUGCCAUCUGACAGUUCAUUUAAUUUCUCUGUGCCUUUGUUCUCUUGGCUAAGGAAGGAGAGCAUUGCCCAAGGUUGGUCUUGGAGAGUCAACGGUGUCCAUAAAUCAACUUUUUCUCAGGCAAAUUCUAAAACCCUGGGUUUUUAAAUAUUACUGCUUGUUUGUUACUGUUCCAAUGGGUUUUUGCCUCUUAUUUAUGAUUCAGGAUGCCUCAUUGAUUCAGGGAUUUAAAAGACUAUAAACUCUCCAGGGUCAAAUUGUGUUUCUGGUCAGAUGCAAAAGGUUAUUUUGAAUCUUCCACCAGGGGAUAUGUUUUGACUAACGAAGUGUGUCAGCCACUAACUUUACCUAGAAACUGUGAAAUAAGCAGAGAGAUAAUUAGAAAAAAAAAAUCAAACCUAGCAAAGUUUUAUUUUCAUGCUUAAACAACCAACAAGGCACAUUUCAGAGGCGAUAUUAAGUAAUUAUUGAGCUAUUAAAUGCAAGUUCUUUUCCUAAACUUUUAGCCCCAACUGUCACAUCCAAUCCCACAUGAGUAUGAUAGAUUCAGUGCCUUGAAAUGAUUUAUUUAUUCAAUAAGUGUUCAUUGAACAGUGCUGAAUGCCAGGUGCUGUUCUAAGCAGUUGCGGUACAUAGAUUAAUGAACAAAACAGACAAAACCUGGCCUUUGUGAACUUACAUGCUGGCGUGUGUGCCUGGGCAGGCAUUUACUAAAUCAUGAGCUAGUAGAUAGCUGAAUCAGUUAGAUAGUGUGUGUGUGUGUGUUAGGUUGUGGGGCUGCCACAACAAAGUGCCACAAUCCAAGUGGCUUAAACAAUGAAAAGUUACUAUCUCACAACCUGGGAGCUUUAUGUCCAAGAUCAAGAUGCUAGCGAGGCUGGUUCCUCCUGAGGGCUGUGAGGGAGAAGCUGGUCCAGGCCUCUCUCCUUGGCUGGGAGACGGCCGCCUUCUCCUCUGUCUCUUCCCAUGGCCAUCCUUCUGUGUGUGUGUCCCAAGGUCCCCUUUUUUAAUAAGAACACAUGCCAUGUUGGAUCAGGGCCCACCCUCAUGGCCUCGCUCUAACGUGACUACCUCUGCACAGACCGUCUCCACGUCAAGUCCAUUCUGAGGUCCUAGGGUCAGGACUCCACCUUGUAUCUUCAGAGCAACAGGAUUCAGCCUCUACCACGUGCCAAAGGUGUUGGAAGGACAAGUGCCCAGAGGGAGGAGGUGACCCCCAGACGGUCUGCAGAGGAGGAUGCGAGACAUCCACACGGUCCCUGCAGGUCAAGGACUGGGGGAAGCACGAGCGCCCCCAGGAGGGUGGGACCAUCCCGUGUGGUCAAGACUCAGCUCUAGGACCCCUUCGUCCCUCAAGCGGAGGACGUCCCUGGAUCCCGGGGCUGUGAUGUCCAGAUGUGUACAGCUGGAAGCGGUGUAAGAAGAGUCCCCAUGACUGUUGCCCGUGAUUCACAGUAUCUUCUUGCCUCGCCCGCUCCGUGGCGGUUGCCCAGCUGUCCUCCCUGUGGAUUGGGUCAACCUUGCCGCCUCUGGACAGUGGCUUCCUGGAUGGCAGCAGCUCUUAGGCCCGGAUGUCUGGGCUUCUUUCUCCCACAAAGUGCUGUGUGCACCGUGAUGCAGGGGCGGGAAACGUUCACUGUGCUCGAUGGGGUGCGUUUUAUUUCAGAGGCGUUCUUCACGAAACCUCCACGUCCAGCCCCAGGCAGGACUUCCUCCCCUACGUUAUAAAGUCCUGGGUCAGACUCUGCCUGCUUUUGUUGUGCGUGGCACUGAGGUCGUUUCUUAUGAGAUGCUUACUUUCUCAGACUAUGGGGUCAUUCUUUUCGAUGUCUUACGUAUCUGAAAAGAGGUAAUAUUUGGGGCAAAAGCACAGAUAAGAGCCGCACAGGUUUGUGCAUGAGCUUAGUGCCUUAGUCUCCUGUGGUUUUACAGUUUUCACAGCUUUGAGGAUAGAGCCUUUAGCACAGACCUUUUGAACACUCGAGACAUGGACACUUUUGUAUUUGGUACAGUAAUCUGGUCAAUAGACAAAGUAUUCUGGGUAAUAAAAUAUGCAUUAGGGUUUUUCUCUGGCUUGAAAUGAAAAACCUAUUUUGAGUAGAUUUCCAACGGCCUAUGUUAUGAAUGAUUAAGCACCAGCAGCAUUACACUGUACCUCUGAUUCUUUAAUUACUAGACCAAAGAUUAGCCACUGGCUUAUCUCUAAGGGUCAUUGAUGAGGACAGGGGCUGGUGCUGCUAACAUGCCACAGACAUUAACAGAAGGGCCGAGACAGCAAGAGGGGGUGGUGAGAGGUACACUGGAGACCUGCAACAGAUGCUGUAUAAAUGCAGAGAGGAGAGAGCGUUCCCUUGCGGCUCAGUGGGCUAGGGAUCCAGUAUUGUCACUGUAGCAGCUUGGGUUUCUGCUGCAGUGUGGGUUCGAUCCCUGGCUGGGAACUUCUAUAUGCUAUGGGCACAGUGAAAAAACAACCCAAACAAACAAAAAAAUUAAAUGCAGAAAAGAGAGGCAAAGAAGGACCAGAAUAGACAAUCUGAAGUGAGAAGAUCAGUGAAGAUCCCCAACCACGAGUUAGGGGCACCAAGGCGUCUCUUGUAAUCGUGCAGAAGAAUGACUUAGCUUUUUGAAAAAGUGCAAAUACUUAAGAAUUUCAGCCAACUCUUUUCACGAUGUGGGCUGCUGCCUAACCAGCUGCUAACUUCCCAGACUUGCAAAUGUGGCAUCUUUUCUCCAGCACACCUUCUGAGUCUGUAACUCUGGGGUCAGUUUGGGAGAAGGUUGGCCUCCUCUGACAGCGCAGUUACGUAAAUCCCCUCUCAGCUCAG